UGGGAAUUUUCCGCAAUGGGCGAAAGCCUGACGGAGCGAUGCCGCGUGGAGGUGGAAGGCCUACGGGUCGUCAACUUCUUUUCUCGGAGAAGAAACAAUGACGGUAUCUGAGGAAUAAGCAUCGGCUAACUCUGNGCCAG
Molecule: ribosomal RNA, 140 nt
Filed under: uncultured bacterium
Lineage: Bacteria
Description: partial 16S rRNA
Rfam family: Bacterial small subunit ribosomal RNA
Source: RNAcentral